AAUAGAUACCCGGGUAGUCCACGCCCUAAACGAUGUCGACUGGUUGUUGGGGGGUUUGACACUCUCAGUAGCGAAGCUAACGCGUGAAGUCGACCGCCUGGGGAGUACGGCCGCAAGGUUAAAACUCAAAGGAAUUGACGGGGACCCGCACAAGCGGUGGAUUAUGUGGAUUAAUUCGAUGCAACGCGAAAAACCUUACCUACCCUUGACAUGUCCUGAAUCCUGGAGAGAUCCGGGGGUGCCCGAAAGGGAACGGGAACACAGGUGCUGCAUGGCUGUCGUCAGCUCGUGUCGUGAGAUGUUGGGUUAAGUCCCGCAACGAGCGCAACCCUUGUCAUUAGUUGCUACAUUCAGUUGGGCACUCUAAUGAGACUGCCGGUGACAAACCGGAGGAAGGUGGGGAUGACGUCAAGUCCUCAUGGCCCUUAUGGGUAGGGCUUCACACGUAAUACAAUGGCGCGUACAGAGGGUUGCCAAGCCGCGAGGUGGAGCCAAUCCCGAGAAAGCGCGUCGUAGUCCGGAUCGCAGUCUGCAA
This 535-nucleotide ribosomal RNA is filed under the name uncultured bacterium. RNAcentral's name for it is "bacterial SSU rRNA". It matches the Rfam family "Bacterial small subunit ribosomal RNA", at positions 777 to 1310 of the family's 1533-position model. The record is from RNAcentral.